This 424-nucleotide ribosomal RNA is filed under the name uncultured bacterium. RNAcentral describes it as "partial 16S ribosomal RNA". It matches the Rfam family "Bacterial small subunit ribosomal RNA", at positions 360 to 776 of the family's 1533-position model. The record is from RNAcentral.
AAUCUUCCGCAAUGGACGAAAGUCUGACGGAGCAACGCCGCGUGAGUGAUGAAGGUUUUCGGAUCNUAACGCUCUGUUUUUCGGGANGAACGAUCUCCAUGUAAAUAAUGUGGAGAAGUGACGGUACCGAAGGAGGAAGCCACGGCUAACUACGUGCCAGCAGCCGCGGUAAUACGUAGGUGGCGAGCGUUGUCCGGAAUUAUUGGGCGUAAAGGGCGCGUAGGCGGGAUAGUCAGUCUGUUGUAAAAGUUCGGGGCUCAACCCCGUGAAGCAAUGGAAACUGCUAUUCUUGAGUGCAGGAGAGGAAAGUGGAAUUCCCAGUGUAGCGGUGAAAUGCGUAGAUAUUGGGAGGAACACCAGUGGCGAAGGCGACCACCUGGGCUAAUACUGACACUGAGGUGCGAAAGCGUGGGGAGCAAACAGG